RNAcentral lists this ribosomal RNA (279 nucleotides) under uncultured Staphylococcus sp. RNAcentral describes it as "partial 16S ribosomal RNA". It matches the Rfam family "Bacterial small subunit ribosomal RNA", at positions 83 to 355 of the family's 1533-position model. The record is from RNAcentral. Lineage: Bacteria; Bacillati; Bacillota; Bacilli; Caryophanales; Staphylococcaceae.
CCUCUGACGUUAGCGGCGGACGGGUGAGUAACACGUGGGUAACCUACCUAUAAGACUGGGAUAACUCCGGGAAACCGGGGCUAAUACCGGAUAACACAUGAAACCGCAUGGUUUCAUGAUGAAAGACGGUUUUGCUGUCACUUAUAGAUGGACCCGCGGCGUAUUAGCUAGUUGGUAAGGUAACGGCUUACCAAGGCAACGAUACGUAGCCGACCUGAGAGGGUGAUCGGCCACACUGGAACUGAGACACGGUCCAGACUCCUACGGGAGGCAGCAGUU